RNAcentral lists this long non-coding RNA (218 nucleotides) under Gossypium barbadense (sea-island cotton). Its description in RNAcentral is "long non-coding RNA (GBAR_LNC008882)". Lineage: Eukaryota; Viridiplantae; Streptophyta; Magnoliopsida; Malvales; Malvaceae. The record is from RNAcentral.
CAGGCCAAGAAUCAUCCUUAACCCUCAUUGGCCAGAUGUCUCCACAAGGCAUCUCGAGUAUGCUUAGCAUGAGGAUGAUCGAAAAGUGCCGAGGAACCUACCCUCCUCAAUAUUGUCUCGCCCAAUCUAUCGAGGAGGAGGCCUACGAGGACAUUCCUGAUGAUGUCUCGCCAUAGCACGAAGGCCCACCGUCUCAGCCACCACCACCCUCUCGUCCA